This 13674-nucleotide long non-coding RNA is filed under the name Lactuca sativa (garden lettuce). RNAcentral describes it as "long non-coding RNA (LSAT_LNC007412)". Lineage: Eukaryota; Viridiplantae; Streptophyta; Magnoliopsida; Asterales; Asteraceae. The record is from RNAcentral.
AGACACAUACAAUAUCCUAAUCCUAUAUCAUUUACCCUUUCGAGACACGUGUAGCAGCUAAACAAUAACCCAAUUUAUUGCACAAUUUGUAUACCCCCCAAAUGUCAUUGCAUUAAACAUGCCAAUAACCCUAAGACGAUUUCAUUUUCUCUGGCACAACGCAUAGCAUUGUUUGUUUUCCAUUUUUCACUGGAAACUCAAUCUCAGUCUCCAUCAAUUAAAGAUCAGAAGCAAAUAAUUCAUGGGAUUGUAUUUGAAACAAAUUAGAUUGAAGAACUUUUGUUGGUGUCGAUUGCAAAUCAGGAAGAAAGUUGAGAAAUUGGAAGCUGUUAAUAGAAAUACGAAGGUAAGAUUCAACACAUCCCUGUAUCUAUUGUUCAUAUUUCUUCAUUAUUAAUAGAAAAUAUACAUAUUUACAUAUAAUAACUUACCUAUUGAAUAUGCAGGAAUAAUUUCUUUGAAGAUGAUAGGCAAAACACGUUCUCCUCAAAACGAAAAUGAAUAUUGGGUGUAUCUGAAAUGAUCAGGUACUUUGAAGAGUAAAUUACACGAAUGGUCACUAUGGUUAGGGUAAUUUGCAAGUUUGAUUCCUAACUUAAUUUUUUAACUCGGAAGGUCCUUACUGUUUUGUUUUUGUUACGCACUUGGUCCCUGUCUUACCUAAAAAGACUAUUUUGCCCUUGAUUUUUAAAUAUUUUUUAAAUAAACACACCCCAACCCUACCCACCUCUCAUUACCUUACCUACCUCACCAUUUUUUCCUAUUUAAAUAAUAGUCUUUUUAAGUAAGAUAGGGACCAAGCGUGUAACAAACACAAACAGUAGGGACCUUCCGAGUUAAAAAAAUAAGUUAGAGAUCAAGCGUGCAAAUUACCCCAAACCAUAGGGACCAUUCGUGUAAUUUACUCUACUUUGAAAGCUUUCAGCAAAUAUAAUUGUUCAAUUUUGAAAAUCGAAAAUGCUAAAUUAGGAGAUGAAUCUUGAUCAUAUAUAUUCAAAAUUAAAUAGAUUUUUUUUUUCAUUAUUUACCUUCCUUACACAGAGAAACAAUCACAACCCUUGUGGAAAUCAUCUUAAAUUGUGUAUGAAACGGAAAUUUUGAUUUUAUAUAUAUGAGCUUCGAAUCGUUUUUUUUUUCUAAAGUUUCUGGGCAAAACAUAUUGAGAUAAAAUAAACAUUGAUGGAUGUUUGUCUGGGGUUAGCAUGCUAUUCAAAAGAAAAAUAGAAUUGCUACCCUAUAAUCAUUUGAACAAACCAUGUCUCUUAUGUAUAGAGUUGACCACUGCAUAUUUUAGUUGUACAUUUAAUAGAGUAAAUUGUUAUGAACAAUUUUAGGUGAUUUUUUAGAUCUAGGAUGUGAAAGUAUUUCGGUCUCUUCUUUCUUUUAUAUAUCAAAUUUGAAGAUGGAUCUAUAACAGCAUAAAAGUGUCAUAUAGCCAUGCUGGAAAUGACUGCAAUUUCAUGAUAUCAACCCUUACAAUUAUGCAAUUACCAUACAUAUUUUAUUAAGAUAUAAAGUUGAAUAUUUCGACUGUUACUUGAAUUUUUAGUUCAACAUCAUUUAUAUUUUGAAGGUUUAGUUUAAGUGCUUUAUUUAUAUUACAAUUUUGGUUUAUUUAUGCAAGAUUCUAAAUUUACAUAAGCAUAUUCCUACGAUUUACAUGUAUAUCAUGAUCAACCUAGCACCAAAUUGUGAUCUCUUCAAUCAUCUGUCGUUAUUUUUUUCUAUUGCGCAUCGUAGCAAGAUUAAAAUAAGAGUAAUGUCCAGUUAUAGAAAAGGGUAAAAUUGUCCAGUUAUGUUAAAAAACUAUUUGCAUAAAGGGUAAUAGUAGAUAACACAUAAACAGAAAAGGGCAGAAUUGUCCAGUUCUGUUAAUAAAACAUAUUUGCAUAUUUUUUUACUUUUUAUUAGUAUAUAACACAUAAACAGAAAAAUAAAGGAAUAAAAACAUCAUAAAUAAGAGUAAUGUCAUAAAUAAGAGUAGUGUCACGAGCAUAUGCAAAAGUAUGUUACCCUAUUAGGAAUGUCAUUAUUAGGUAUAAGAUACCAGAAAAGGGCAGAAUUGUCCAGUUCUGUUAAUUUUUUUAGCAUAUUUUUUACUUUCUAUUAGUAUAUAACAACAUAUAAACAGAAAAAUAAAAGAAUAAAACAUUAUAAAUAAUAGUAAUGUCAUAAACAUAUUCAAAAGUAGGUUGCCCUAUUAGGAAUGUCAUGUCAAUAUUUGAUAUUGCAUAACAGAAAAGGGCAUAAUUGUCGAGUUUUGUUAAAAAAAAAUUUGCAUAUUUUUUAUUAGCAUAUGGAAACAGAAGCAGUACACUUUUUGUUACCACUGCAUCAAUAUCACUAUUUGUUAUGAUUGAAACAUAUAAUAAAGAUUUAGUGGUUUGAAGUCCAUCCGUAUUGAACAUGACUCAUGGGUAACUACAGUUUAAAGUUUUUUUUAUAGAAAAAAAGCAAUAGACAUUUGCCGUAUACGGAUACAUAUAUGCAUACCUAUGCAUAACAUGAGGAGAAGGAGAACUGUAACAGAAGAACAAUACUUACUGUAACUGAAUAAGAAGUAUAGAUGAGAAUAAAUUACUAGAUUCGCAAAGAAAAAGACGUACAGAGGAACUAAAGUUUGAAAGACGCAAAUGUUAGAAAUAUUUUUAGAUGACAGAUUUAUAUAAAUGAUGAAAGCGCAAAGAUUAUUUCAUUCCCUAUUAUAAUGCAGAUAUAAUGGGUAAAAGAUAAAUAAAAUCAAAAAGAUUGCUUAGAAUAUGGUAACAGAGUUGCUAAUUAGUAGGAGACUCCCAAAUUAUCGUUUUCUAUGAUUUUGAUUUGAUCAAAACAUUUUCUAUGUAUUUGAUUUUCGUUAUUAAUGCAAUGGGCGGGAAAAGAUUUCUAAGGAGAUGUGAGAAAAUUACACAUGGAUUGAAGGAGUUUAUAAGAGGGACACGUGGCACCUUAGAUAGCCUUUUAUUAGGAAGAGAGAUAUGUCUUUGUUUAUACAUAUUAAAAUGCAUGCAUGUGAUAUUUAUUUUAUGUUAUUGUACUUUAUGUUUUAUGUAUGAAAAUGAGUCUUACAUUUCAAACAACAUUUUAACAUAAGAUAAUAUCACUUGGAGUUUGAGUACAAAAUAUUUAAAAGAUAACAUUAGAUGUUUAUAAAUAGAUAUUUAUAAAAAUGUUUUUACCGAUUACCGGUUAAAAAUCAAUUUUUCUUAAAAAUAGUUUUAUUGUAAAACUUAUAAAUACCAACUUUAAAAUAAUUGAAAUGGUUUACAAGGUGUUUAAACAUUAUAUAAACUGCAUGUAUUCAUAAUUGUUGAGUUAUGAGCAUUUAAUUUGACAUGCAUAAUUAUAAAGAACACGUUGAAUAUGAUGAUUUGGGUGUCUAAGAGAUGUAUUCGAUUAUAUAAGGAGUUACAAAAAAUUUUAAGCUAGUUCUAGACAUAAAUAACUCACACUCAGACUCUCAAUUUUACAUCUCAAGCACAAUGUAAUAGUGAUAUACAAACCACUAUUUAUAGAAGUGCCAUAACUACUCUCUCUCUCUCUCUCUCUAUAUAUAUAUAUAUAUAUAUAUAUAUAUAUCAUGUCACAAAGCAUAAUAGCCACACAUGCAAGUAGGUGUUGUCAAGUCAAGCCUUCACAAGUAAUUUAAUGGAGAACUUUGUACCCAACAUUCUCCCCCUCAAAGUUAGGAACGAAUGACUCGGCUUCAAUCUCCAAAAAGAGCAACGUUGUGAACAAAACCUUAAUGGUGACAAAUGUAGAAAUGAGCAUCAAAUCUUCAAUCUUCAAUGGUUUCCUAAUCCAGGUUCUAAAAUGUGAGACAUUACAAUUCGAGCAUCAAAAGGCAAUUAGUGAAUCCUUGAGUAUCCAAAUCUCCAAAGAUUAAUUACCCAACUUUGAGCAUAAAAACACACCUCCAAAAUCUUCAUUAUGUCCAAACCCUUCAUAAGAUAGGAAAACCCAGACCACUUCUGAAAUUCCAAUUCGAAUCACUUCAUGAUCUAUUCCCCCUCAAGGACACAUCAAUCUUCAAAUUUGCCUAACAUGAAAAAUCCAAAACUUUCGACUUCGAAUUCCCAUAUUAAAAUCUCCCACGUUUUUAUAAUUGAAAUAUGAUUAUAAAACCCAAAUGGGAAUGAGAAAGCGCUCAAUGUGGAAUAUGAAAUACAAUCCUCCACCUUGACACGUGGCAUAAACGUUUCACUUAAAAUCCAAAAUUUUGUCAAUUUUGACACUUUUAGUCAAAUAAUGAGCUUUUUGGAUUGACUUGGACCAAAAAAUGAACAAAAUAUCAUGUUGCUGAAAACAUCUUGCAAAAACAACACUCUUAAAAUCCCGUAAAAAAUCUCUAAAUUUGGGAACAAUUUUAGUUUAUAGGUAAAAAGUGUAAUCUUUCUGAAAUUGCGGGUCUAAAUAUGAAACUUCUGUAAUCUUCUUGAAUUCCUGAUGCAAGAAAGAACACACAAACACACACAUCACCAACAUUUGAAACCUCAACUUUCGAUUAAAAAAAUACAACUUUCGAUCCAAGCCAUUGAACUUUCGAUACCAAGCCUUUGCAAACUACUAUCGACUAUCAAAACUUUGAAAUUUCGUUCCCAAGUCUUUGCAAAAAACUUUCGACUAUCCAAAAACCAUUUCGACCAUUCACAGUUGAAACUACAAAGUUUCGACCUCACAAUUAAAUCUCACAUUUCGAUUUCCAGUGAGCCUCAAACUUUCGACCUUGGUUAUCAAGGGUCGACUAUUAGCCAUUCAUAGUCCAAAUUUCAACUGAUAAUCUGCAAACCUAGUACACAGUUGAAAUCCUAGACCCAAUAACAAUUACGACUGCUUUUUUAUUCUGAUCACAUUCUUUUCCCAACUUUCAACCAUGGAACACGAAUUUUGACUUUCUUUCCUCACAGAGCCUUGUCUCACGGGAUGGCUCAAUCAUCGUGUGCCACUUAUUCUUUCUUCGACUAAGUCAAGCUUGGAACACUUCCUUACGUUGUACUAACGACUAGAAUAGCAAGAUAUGUGAUAAGGAAUGCUACGAAGUAAGAAAGAAAGCUUCUAUUAUAAACUCGACUAUUUUACAAGUAAACUUCCCAAUGGUUUGGGAAAAUGAGUCCUUCUCCCUAUUUAUAGGAACCUUACACCUCCUUAAAUGGAAGUUUCUAGGUCCCGAUAAUUCUUGACUAAUCUAGACUCUUCCUAUUAUAUACAUGGCCUUUACAAGACUCUAGAAUAUGGUAUACUUUUCUACAAUGCUCUAGAAAUCUCUAGGUCGUCCCGAAAUUAUCCAAAUCGCUCUUGUAUGAUCUACCAUGUUCUAGAUCAUUCCAAAUUCUUUCGGGUCAUUUUAGCUUCAUCUAGUGCCUUCGUGAUUAUUCCGGAUCGUUCUCCUUUGUUCCACAAACAUCUAUAAUAUUCUAGCAUCUUCCAAGGUCCUGUACGACAUUCUUGAUCUCUACGGAGACUUCUUGAGUAUACUUGACUGUUCCAGAAUUCUCUAGAAGAUGGUGGAAUUUUUCAGAAACUUGGUUUGUGACACCCUUCCCCACUUAAACCCUUGAUGUCCUUGUCAAAUCUUCUAUAUAUAUGUCUCGAUCUUGUCAUGGAACUACUUCGUGUCUUUUAUUUUUCUCCAAAGUCUCACUUAGAGUAAGGUGUGCUUUUAUUUCUCAAUGUAUCUUGAAUCCUAUUUCUUCGCUCAGCCUGACAACCGGCAAAAUUCUGGUCAAAGCCAAAGUCAAGUCAAGGUCAACGGACCAUCUGGUCAACUCAAUUAGUGCUUAUAUGUUAGGAAAUUCUUUAUGUUUCCUAAUGUUCAACUAUAAUUCACUACUAGAAAAAAAGGCUUUCCUUGACAGACAAUGUUUGUCAUAAACGCCUAUACAUGACAGACAAUUGUCUGUCAUUGAAAGCCAUGUCAUAAAAGAAAAUGACAGACAUUAGAUUUGUCAUAAAAUUUACGACAGACUUUUAUGACCAACAAUUACGACAUACAUACACGACAUGCAUUUUCGACAUACAUUUACGACUGACUUUGUUUGUCAUAAUUCGUAACAUUUUUGUAUUUAUGACAGAGAUUUACGACUUCAAAUUACGACAUACGUUUUGUACAAUACGAUUUUUGACAUAUUUUUACAACAUGGUUUGUANUAUAUAUAUAUAUAUAUAUAUAUAUAUAUAUAUAUAUAUAUAACACCCAAUCCAAACCAAACUAAAUUACAUAUUUAAUGUCUAAUAACAUAAAAUAAAACAUCAUACCUAUAUUAAAAGGCUUACACGAAUUAUAGUGUCAAAUUCAAAAAUACGGUCCAAAUUCAUCAAAAAGUAAUUGUCAAAUUCAUAUCACUAGUAAAGAAAAUUUAUAACAUAAAUAGCCCAUUCUUCACGCACCCUAUCAAGCUCGACGUCUGUAUAUUCAUUCUUCCCCCAAAACUGAGACAAAAACUAGUAUAUUAACAAAAAUCUAUUAAAUAAUUAUAUAUGUAAAUAUUCUACAACACUUCAAGUCCAUCAAGUAACUAAUAGAUUUACUUACAUUGUUAUUCAACACUUCAAGUCCUUCGCCAACAACCUCUUUCAUGAACUUAAGAACAUAAUACCCGCAUUUUGUGUAACCAUGCUGAAAGGGACACUCUACAAUUAUAUAAUUAAUUGAUUAGUAAAAAACAAUAAUAUAUUAGUCAAAUCCAAUUGAAAUUAAAGUUGCAGUUUGUGCUAACCAUAACAUUUAUCCAAUUGGCUUUAACCUUUUUCUUUGAUCCACUUUGUCUUGCGUGCAAAGACAAUGCUCUACAAAAAAAUGGAUGAAAUAUAUCAAAGAAAAUAAUUUAAUGUUUCAAUAAUUUGUAUUACUUACGCUUCAAUCAAUUGCUUUAAGUCUGGAUCAACAACAAGGCACCUUAGUGAAUUAAGGUAAUUGCAUGUUGUUGUUUGCAUGUCUAGUACUGCUAGCACCCAAUGACCACUGUAAACCCAAAAACCAAAUAAAAUUAGGACAAUAAUUGUGAAAGAAGUUUAAAUGCAAGAAAUUAUAAAGUACAUUAUAGUAAAAGGAAGCCUAAAUACAAGAAAUGACAGCUUACUUUCUACUUACUUAUGGUAAAGGAAACUUAAAUGCAAGAAAUAACAAAGUACAUUGCUAUUUCAUGCACUUGGGGACAUAAAAGAACUUAUGUAAUAAAAACAAGUAAGUUAUGUUUUUUGUCGAGUCAAAUCAAUUAAUGUUUGCUGCUAUUUCUUGUAAUUUAACAAAAAAAAAUACCUAAAUGCAUGAAAUAGCAACUUACUUCUACUUAUUAAUGGUAAAGGAAGCUUAAAUAUAAGAAACAAUGAAGUACAUUGCUAUUUGUUGCGCUUGGGACAGAAAGGACUAGUGUAAUAAAAAAAAGUAAAUUGUCUUUCUUUUCCAAAAUCGAAUAAACUAAAGUAUGUUGCUAUUUAAUCCAUAGUAGAUUAAUGUUAUAACAUCAUACUAUUAUGUCAUUCAUGUUAUAAUAUCAUACCUGGGAUUGUAAGGCAUUAAGAUGAUAUUGUUGUCCUUUCUUGUUGACAGCCGACAUGCUAUGACUUCACUUGCUUCAUCACUUUUCUUGAAGUUGUUCGUACGCCCAUCUUUAGAGAUCGCACUCGGGCUCACAAAACAGAUUCCAUGAUCUGUUUUUCCUCCAUUCUUGAUUUCUUCAUACAAGUACCUAUUAAUAUAUAAAAAAAUACAAAUGAUACAAAAGUUUUACUAGAAAAAUAUAAAGGAUUUUUGGAUCGAGUCCAGCUUGUACCAUUUCUACUAUGGUACAAUAGUGCGGUUCCAUGACCAUUGAUCUCACUUCCAAUCACAAUCCUCCAUUUUCCAUAAGGCCGAUCCAAGCCGUUGAUGGAUCUCGAAAUUACCCGGGUUUAAUGUCAUCAAUUGGGGUUAGCAACGGGUUACCCGACCAUUUUAUCCAUUCUUCAAGAAGUGUUUUCAAUGAAUCGGGUUCUUCUUCUACAUCUGUGAAGAAGGAAUUAUCUAGCAUAUCUUUUGUAUGAUCAAAGUCGGGAAGAACAAAUUUAUUAGGGCCUCUUUCGGAAUUUUCCCCAUGGAAAGUCCAAACUUUAUAUCCUUCAUCAAAUCCAUUGGAAAACAAAUGAUAACGCACGGUCGGAAUUGAGUGAUGGCACAAAUUGAUACAAUUUAUGCAAGGACACGGAAUUACAUCUGAUUUUACAUUAUUAUUUUGUGCAAAGGUUAAAAAAUCCUCCACACCUUCGUCAUAUGCAUUUGUUAAUCUAUUCGAGGAAAUCCAUGAUUUAUCCAUUGAAUAAUUUGUUACCAACCUACAAAAUUAUGAAGUAUUACAAACAACUGAUUUUACCCCUUAAAUCUAAUAACAAUAACAUAAAAGCAUAAACCUAAUGAUUUGCUAAAGGCUUGAGAAUGAAAUUUAUAACAAAAUAACAAAGUAGAAGUUUUAUCUAAAGCUAAUUCUGUUAACUUGAGCAGGAAUUCUUCAUCUAAAGAUGAAAAAGAGAUUCAGACUAUGAAUCAUGAUCCAGAAUUCCAGAAUACUAAUGAGAGUUUAUCAUGGGAUCAGGCUUCACAAGAAAACAAUGGGUAUCCAUCAAAUAUGGUUUUUGAUCCCCACAACCCUGGUUGGUAUUAUGACAUGAACACUCAAUAAUGGUACUCUUUGGAGGCAUAUAAUUCUCAAGAACAGGACCAGGUCAACCAAAAUGGGUAUUCUGCAACUAGUACUUAUUAUGGAAGUGAUCAGAAAGCAUAUGGUGGGCAGGAUCAGAUAAAUAAGCAGUUACAGGUAGGAUAUGAAGGACAAAAUUAUAGUGUGUAGUAAAUAAGACAAAUGGUAACAAAUGAAAUGUUCAGCAAACCAGAUGGAGUUUUAUAGAAAAAUGAGAACAUGCAAUUAUUAUGUUUUCAUAGUAAAAAUGACAGAAUGCUUGAAACCAUUUAGUUAAAAGCUUCUUUGGUAAAUGAUCUACAAGCUAUUAACACAGGUAGUGUUAGAUACCAUUGGAACACAUAUUUUGUUUUUCAAAGUGUUCUAAAACAAACUCCUAAAGAUGUAUUAUAACAAAUAUAGCCUACAGACCACUAUUAACUCACAUUAUAAUCAUUUCUACUCAUUCACAGUUGGGGAAUAGAAACAUCCCUAGUAUCCUUAAGGCUUACAAUUUCAUUUCCGAUGAAGAAUUCAAGGGUUGCAUUCAUUUCCAAUGGUAUCAUUAUUUGCACAUAGAAUUUAUGUUUCUAAUUAGGGUAUGUGCUUAUAUGAAGUCGAAACUACAAAGAAACUAAGUAAAAUCAGAAACUAUUGUAACAGAACAGCGAAAGACAUUCAUCUCAGAAGCUAUGGUUCAGAAAUCAGAAAUAACAAGCAAACAAUUCAAUGAUAUUAUUCUGAAACUAGGGUUUAUUCUGAGUUUUAGUGCUAAAGUAGAAAGGUUCAAGAUGUUACUUCUCAAGAUAUAAUAGAGUUGAGUGACUGGUGUCAGACGGCGAUGACGAAGAAUCAGAUCGCGCAUCGGUGACAAUGACAAUGGCGUGACUGGUACGGUAGUGGCAAGUCGGCGAGUGGUGAAACGAGGACGGAAAUGGUGAGGCAACGAGUUGAUUUCCUGAGCGGAGCAGCCCAAAUCGAUCGCCGUCUGCUUUGAUUUCUCGUGUGUUGAUGAUUUGGAAUGAUCGUACGAGCUUUGAGGGUAUACUAAUUCAUCCUACCAUUAUGAUUUAGAAUCAUACCAUCAUCUUUUUAUUUUGACCGGAUUCUGGAAUUUUGACCAAUUAUAUUGCAUGAAAAUCAGUUAAUUUGCUGUAUUCAAUAUAUGUUGCUUCAUGUUAAUAUUAUAAUAUUAUAAAUUUAUUAGCAAGAUAAAUUAAAUAUUCAUAACUAUGGAUCCUUUUAUAAGGUUUGGAAUUAUUUGGAAACUUAUUUUCAAAUUUAAUGUCAUUAAUUGCUAAUUUUGUAAAGUAAAUAUGCUAAAAACCCAAAAGCCCGAGAAAGAGGUCGACUAGUCAUGAGGCUAAGUACCAACUUGACCCAUAUCCCAGUGUACAUCUAGGCCCAUUUACAUAUGGGUUUAGCUAAUGUUUCUACCCGAAAGACUUACACUAUAAUUUAGGGGGUGUUUAUGUUUGGAUAUAUAUAUAUAUAUAUANNNNNNNNNNNNNNNNNNNNNNNNNNNNNNNNNNNNNNNNNNNNNNNNNNNNNNNNNNNNNNNNNNNNNNNNNNNNNNNNNNNNNNNNNNNNNNAUAUAUAUAUAUAUAUAUAUAUAUGAUCUUUGUUAAUUAUUUAUCUAAAAUUUCACUAGAUCAGUUGGUUUCCAGCAUGGUUAGUAAUCGAGACACAUAGGUUCGAUUUAUUUUCAUAUGCUUUUUUUUAUUAAUAAAAAUGAUCUUAGGAAGUAGUAUUUGCUUCAAAAAAAAUUUCCUACUAUAUAGUGCACAUGUACUAGUCGACAUAGCAUCAUUGUAUUAUUGUUUGCUAUUACUAAUUUUUCUUUAUAGUAUUAACGGAGAAAAAUCAUUUUAAUUUAAUCUUUAAGAUAUGACAUAAAAUUACGACAUACUUUGCUUGUCGUAAAUCAUUGAUAUUUUACGAUAUAUGACAUAAAUUUUAUGACAGAAUUUUAUGCCUGUCAUAAAAGUGUUGUGUGUCGUAAUUCGUCUGUCAAGGAAUGCCUUUAUCCAGUAGUGAUUCCUAAUGAAAAGUAACACUUGAAAGUCUCAAAAGUUCAAAAUUUAAAACCCUAAUUUGAUUUAGGGAAGUAGCAGCUCUAUAAAGCACUAUUGAGUGCCCUUCGGGGUUGUAUAACACUCAAAAUAGAAUGUAUCUAAGUCUAAGGACCUUGCACUACGAAGAAAAACACUAAUAAAGGCUCCCAACAAAGUCUCUCCCAAUCUCUCCCACUAGAUCUCUCUCUAUCUCUCUCCCAAAUCUCUCCAAGAAUAUAAAAUCUCUCCCAAAUCUCUCUAAGAAUAUGGAAUCUCACCCAAAUCUCUCCCAAUAUGUGAAAUCUCUCCAAGUAUGUGAAAUCUCUCCCAAUAUCUGAAAUCUCUCCCAAAUCUCUCCAAGUAUAUGAAAUCGCUCCCAAAUCUCUCCAAGUACGAGAAAUCUCUCCCAAGUCUCCCUACGUACCAUCCUCAGUCGAAAACAUCCCAAAACCGGAGGAGAGAACCCAAAAGGACCCUCUUGGUCCGGAACCCUCUUGGUCCUGAACUUCUCGUCCGGAAUCCUCUUACGCCAGUACCCCUCCCUACUUCGCAUGCUUCUGAUGAAAUCCCGAAUGCUUCUGUUUGCUACGGAACCUCUGAACUAACUCCGGAAGAAAGAAGCUCUGGAAGCCUGAAGUACCGAGCCCUCUCGCAAUUCAGGAAGCCUCCUACCCGAAAAAUCUUGCACCUCAAGACUCCUUGACUCCGGAAGAUCUCGCCCUACCUCGCCUUGUUUCGGAAACCUUGGGCUGGACCGGACUCCGCCUUUUGACUUCGGAACCGAGGAGAUACUCCGUAAAUUGAAAUUCAGCUUCGGAUUUCGCCUGGUGGCUCCGAACUUGAGCAAACGACUCCGGAAUCCUUCUCAAGCCCUUCGGACCCUCGUAGGAGCAUCAUCCCACUUCGGAUUUUCAUCAUUUUUUUGACUUUUUCACCAUUUAAGGUAUUUUGAUGCCAGAAAUCACACCAAACUCGUAUUUUUCAUGUCCUAAACCACUAAAACUCCUAUUUUAUGCCAAAAUUAAAUAUUUUAAAUGUAUUUAUAUAAAAUAAAAACCCAAGAUUUUAAGACGAUCCUAAGAAGAUAAAGGGGUUUGACCUUGUGAUGUGAUGCUCAAUCCUCCAUUGUCCCAUGCAAAUCCCAGUUAAACACACAUUACCCUUAGAAAAUAAGCCUUGCCCACCAGUUUUCCAUGCAAAUGUCAAGUCAUUCCUUAUCCUUCCCCUUUAGAUACGUGAAUCUUUUUUCCUCCCUCAUCCCACUUCCCACUUUCUCAAUCAAUAAACUCCCAAGAAUUCUCUCAAACUCUUUCAAGACUCAAGCUUCAUUCCUUCAACAAAAAUUUCCAGAAUCUUUAUUAAGUGUUCAUCCUGCUUGAAUAGUGGUUUUUCCUCACCAUUCCGAUUUCACUAUACUUACACAUAAAUUAUUUUUAGAAUCAUUUUGAAGUCUCAAGAACCUUUCAAGUGUUGUGAAACUUGGAAGCUCCUCAUCAUCUCUUCAAAUCUUCCGCGAACUAAACCAUGGUGAGCUUCAUACCCCACCUUUUUCCUUAGUCUUUGUUGAUUUUGGGGGAGAGUACAAGUCACCUCUUGUUCUAAAUUCUUGAAUGAUUGCAUGUGUACGUGUGUUUAAUAAUUGUGUUGAAAUAUUAUCAUUUUUUUGUAUGUAGAACUCUCUGUGAAUGGGAGGUGUCAUAGAACCCAUGAAAAUAAAUAAUAUUUCAAAAUCUUUAUAUGAGUAAUAAAAUUUACAAACGGAGCCUCCCAAGUUUUUGGGGGUGUUUAACAUGCAUCCUUGUAUCCAUGCUCUUCAUAUUUAGAGAUAAAAGUUGUUGAAAUAGACCUUGAAAGGUUGACAAUAAGUCUAGAACUUUGAAAUUUGAACUUGGUGUUCCAUAAAUGACUAUUUGCAAACUGUUAAGGGGUUAUUUAUAAAAAUUGGAUAUAAGUAAUUUCACCUAUAAUAUAUGCAAAUAGAGCCUUUAUGACAUAAAAUUUUGCAUGUCAUAAAGCUACUGUCAUAAUUUCACAGAAGUCAUAAGUUUUACACAAAUCAUAACUUGACAUUUUCCCGAUAAAUGGGGUCUCACUUAGUAAUAUAUAGAGAGGAGAGCCAUUUUAGCUGACAUCGCUAAUAUUGAAUUGAUUUGAUAAAUAUUUUGAGCGAAUCACUUUCAACAAAUGAAACGAAACGGAACAUUUAGUCAACAAGUACAACUAGUAAUAAUUAUUUGGUAAAUAAUGAAUUUCAACGCUUUGCGUGAAACUACUAGUAUUCUAGUCAGACGAAAUCUUCACAACACAUAUAUUAUAUACAAUAUUGUACACCCUAAGUCUUAUAAGAGUUAUAACUAGAGUCUCCUGGAGGGAGAGCGGGAAUUUGUGUAUAGAUCUAUACAGGUUGACACCCUGCACCUUCGCUGUUCGCUACAGCCAGACCGACCAGUCUAGGGUGACAAAUGUCUUGAACAAAACCGACGCCUGAAGAAUGUCAUAACAGGCGCUCUGUCAUAUUAGUAUGGCUAUAACGACUCACUAGAUUAUAUAAAAAAUGUAAUUAUAUAGACUUCAUCUUCAGUUAAAAAUCAACUAUUCUGACUACCUCAAUGAGGCUUUUUCGCACUCGUGUUAUGUUAUUACCAAAAUUACUAUUUUAUACAUCAGAAAAUAUAAGAUUUUUUGGAGAAACAGUUCGUACGAUUUUGGAAAACAAUGAAUUAAGACACACAUGCAACUAUACUCGAUUUGAAACAAGAAUUACAACCAUUUGAUAAGAAAAUAUUGGAUUUUCUGGAUUUUUAAACUAUCAUCAAAGUUUUUAUACUCAAAUGCUUAUGAACUCACCAACAUAUUUUAUGUUGACGCUUUUCAAACGACUUGUAUUCUCAGGAAAUUAAUAAGCAGGUUAUGGAUUGCGGACUCAAGCUUAUUUUGCUGUAUUUUGGGAAAUUAGCUUAGUGAUGUUUCUU